RNAcentral lists this ribosomal RNA (534 nucleotides) under uncultured bacterium. RNAcentral's name for it is "bacterial SSU rRNA". It matches the Rfam family "Bacterial small subunit ribosomal RNA", at positions 200 to 754 of the family's 1533-position model. The record is from RNAcentral.
UUCGGGGCCUGGCGCCUGAAGAGGAGCCCGCGGCCAAUUAGCUUGUUGGUGAGGUAAUGGCUCACCAAGGCUCCGAUUGGUAGCCGGCCUGAGAGGGCGGACGGUCACACUGGAACUGAGACACGGUCCAGACUCCUACGGGAGGCAGCAGCAGGGAAUCUUGGGCAAUGGGCGAAAGCCUGACCCAGCGACGUCGCGUGGGGGACGAAGGCCUUAGGGUUGUAAACCCCUUUUCCGAGGGAAGAUACAGGACGGUACCUCGGGAAUAAGCCCCGGCUAACUACGUGCCAGCAGCCGCGGUAAUACGUAGGGGGCAAGCGUUACCCGGAAUCACUGGGCGUAAAGUGCGCGUAGGCGGUUGGAUAAGUCUCUUGUGAAAGCUCCCGGCUCAACUGGGAGAGGUCAAGGGAUACUAUUCGACUUGAGGACAGCAGAGGUAAGCAGAAUUCCCGGUGUAGCGGUGGAAUACGUAGAUAUCAGGAGGAAUACCGGUGGCGAAGGCGGUUGCCUGGUCCAUUACUGACACUCAGAUGC